RNAcentral lists this long non-coding RNA (582 nucleotides) under Homo sapiens (human). RNAcentral's name for it is "non-protein coding lnc-ZBED5-3:6". The record is from RNAcentral. Lineage: Eukaryota; Metazoa; Chordata; Mammalia; Primates; Hominidae.
GACUUGAAAGUUUUGAUAUCCAUGGCAUUUUCUGACUCCCAGGAGAUGGAUGUGACUAGAUGAAAUCUGUAUAACUGGACAUUUUUGGUAGACUGUAAUAGCUAACAUUUAGGUGGUUGUAUUUUUCCUAAAGGAAGGGUUCUUGGAGAAGUUUUCAUAUUUAGUUUAAGCAAUGACAUUUUCUGUAGAUUGUGGACAAAGCCCUAGAAGAGCCAAAGUAUAGCUCACUGUAUGCUCAGCUAUGUCUGCGAUUGGCAGAAGAUGCACCAAACUUUGAUGGCCCAGCAGCAGAGGGUCAACCAGGACAGAAGCAAAGCACCACAUUCAGACGCCUCCUAAUUUCCAAAUUACAAGAUGAAUUUGAAAACCGAACUAGAAAUGUUGAUGGUAAGACUUAUAGCUGAUAAUAAGUACUACUGUAUAUUUUCAGCUUAAUUCUGAAUGUUGGCUUACUUCAUUGGUAUCUUUUUCAGUCUAUGAUAAGCGUGAAAAUCCCCUCCUCCCCGAGGAGGAGGAACAGAGAGCCAUUGCUAAGAUCAAGAUGUUGGGAAACAUCAAAUUCAUUGGAGAGCUUGGCAAGCU